Sinocyclocheilus grahami is the source of this 89-nucleotide long non-coding RNA. RefSeq lists it as uncharacterized. The record is from RefSeq and is a predicted model, not a curated record. Lineage: Eukaryota; Metazoa; Chordata; Actinopteri; Cypriniformes; Cyprinidae. The transcript is spliced from 3 exons.
UUUUUGCUGUCAUGUGCAAGGAUAUGUUUGCAGAUUCUGUACUGCACAUGACCAAUUGACUCACUGUUUGCCUGUUUGUUGUUGCCCUG